This 3969-nucleotide long non-coding RNA is filed under the name Canis lupus familiaris (dog). RNAcentral's name for it is "lncRNA (ENSCAFG00030009874.1)". The record is from RNAcentral. Lineage: Eukaryota; Metazoa; Chordata; Mammalia; Carnivora; Canidae.
AUGCUUAAACGGGUUUUGAGUCCAAGAUCCUGGAAAGAGCUCCGGAUGGGCAUCCACACGCAUCUUGGUUUCCCGGGUCCAAAGGCUGUAGUCUCUUCCUUACCACUGAGGACUGGAGAGCUUACAGGAAAGAACAUCUAUGAAGGACUUACCCAACAAAGCAUAGCACCAGCAAGCCUGGUGCAAAAUCAAGGGAAAAGUUUGAAAACAGAGAACUGCCUGGAUUAAAUGUUUAAGCUUUAUUCAUUGAUGACCUUGGAUUGUGCAGAGUGGUACUACCCUUCUGACCCUUAUGCUUUGUCCACUUCUGGAUGAUUUCCUUAUUGUAUAAGCUGAAUUAUGCAUCUGUACUCAUUUUGGCCUCCCUUUAGAACUGAAAGAUGAGUAACAUAAACCCUUUAAAUUUACUUUUAGUCACAUUUUAUAAAACAAUGAGUCACAUUUUUAAAUGAAUCAAAUAACAUUUCUAUAUCUAGAAUAAGCCAUGUGCCUCAGGAAGACAUUGACCAGCAUAUUAAUAAUAAAUGUCAACUAAAGAUUGUUUUUUUCUAAGAAUUCUGAAGUCUUCUGGAACAUUUAGUGCUUUUCUUUAGAAAUUACUUUCAGAACUGUAAGUGUAUUUUAUAAUAUUGUCAAUGGUGAUAAAUCUUCAUCCACCAACAUUGGAUUUGAUUUUUGUGUAUAGUCAAAAAUUCAGAGUUAAUUCUGUUGUAUAAUGCAAGUGAUUAAACUGGAUAAUGCCAAAUUUUUAUUUUAAGCAAGAGAUAUGGCUAUAACAUAAGUCACUAUGUUUUUGAAUAUGAUAGAUAAAUUCACUUGUAAUCUGCUCCGGUAGGGGAAUUAUAAAAUGAUAUUUUAUAUAGGAUUGUCAUUCUAAGGAUUAUUGAACAAAGAAUAUAAGAGGAUAUUUGCAAAUGGCAUAUAGGAUAAAGGGUUAGUAUCUAAAAUAUAUAAAGAAUGUUUAAAACUCAACGCUUAAAACAUGAAUAAUCCAAAUAAAAAAUGGAGAGAAGACAUGAAUGAAUACUUUUUCAAAGAAGACAUGCAAGUGACCAAUGGACACAUGACAAGAUGCUCAACAUCACUUAUCAUCAGGGAAAUGCAAAUCAAAACUACGAGAUAUCACCUCAUACCUGUCAGAAUGGUUAAAAUCAACAACAGCCAAAUAGCAGGUAUUGGCUAGGAUGUGGAGAAAGGGGAACCCUCUUGCACUGUUGAUGGGAAUGCAAACUGGUGCAGUCACUCUGGAAAACAGUGUGGAGGUUCCUCAGGAAGUUAGACAUAGAACUAGUCUAUAAUCCAGAAAGUGCACUACUGGAUCUCUACCCCAAAAAUACAAAAAUACAGGGGCACCUGGGUGGCUCAGUCGGUUAAGUGUCUGACACUUGAUUUUGACUCCGUUUAUGAUCUCAUGGUCAUGGGAUCGAGCUCCACAAAGGGCUCUGUGCUCACUGCAGAGUCUGCCUCAGAUUCUUUCAUCCUCCCCAUCUUCCCCUCCCUGCUCAUGUGCUCUCUCUCUUAACUAAAUAAAACCCUUUAAAAAAUAAAACAAAAAUACUAAUUCAAAGGGAUGCAUGCACUCUGAUGUUUAUAGCAGCAUCACCUACAAUAACCAAAUUGUGGAAACAGCCCUUGUCCAUCUACUGAUGAAUGGAUUAUAGAAGAUGUGGUAUAUAUAUACAAUGGGAUAUUGCCUAACCAUAAAAAGGAAUGAAAUCUUGCCAUUUGCAACAGUGUGGUUGGAGCUAGAGGGUAUUGUGCUAAGUGAAGUAAGUCAGAGAAAGACAAAUACCAUAUGAUGUCAGUCAUAUGUGGAAUUUAGGAAACAAAACAAAUGAGCAAAGGGAAAAGAGAAAAAGAGUGAGAAUGGCAAGCCAAGAAAGAGACUCUUAACUAUGGAGAACACACUGAUCUCGCCAGGAGGGACGUGGGUGGUGGCAUGGGUUUAAAUGGGUGAUAGACAUUAAGCAGUGCACUUGUGAUGAGCCCUAGGUAUAUAUAUAUAUGGAAAUGUUGAAUCAUUAUAUUGUGUACCUAAAGCUAAUAUUAAUUACACUGUAUGUUAACUAACUGGAAUUUAAAUAAAAACUUUAAAAAAUUCUCGUAUUAUAGUCAAAUUUAUAGAAACAUAGUAUUAUUUUUAAGUAAUAUAAAGAAAAAAAAUUCCCCAAACUACUUCUUUAAUAAUGAAAUUUAUUUUUAAAAAUAACAUCUGUUAUGCUAUUUUUCAUAUCUGGUGUUUUUUAUAACAAGCAAGGAAAAUAGGUAUAUUAUCAUUGUCUCCAUUGAAGAGGAGAUUUCUUUCAUAGGAGUAAUCAUCUUGCUCAAGAUAAUAUGGCAAAAAGUAUUGAAACUGGGCUAAGAACCUGAAUGCUCUAACUCCAAAUGCUAUGUUUUUAUAAGGUAAUUUACAUUUAAAUGCUUUGCAGAAGGAAAUUGGAGUAUAAAUGAAGAGCAUUAGAUAAAAUCUAGUCCUGGCUGUGUCCCUAACUAGCUGUGUGAUCUUCAGACAGUUUAUUUCACCCCUUGGGGCCCUUAGCACAGUUAUUUGUCAAAUGAGGGUUUUGUAUUUUUUUGUUUUUGUUUUUGUUUUCUUAGUUGUAGGCUAAGUUAAGAAACUCUGUAAGGAAAUACUAUCAAACACUAUUUAAAGAGCAGGAUAGAGGAAGUAUUUAAAUAAGCCUUACAAAUAUUACAAAGAAAUCAGUCAGCUUUACCAAGCCAACUUCAUAUAACAACCACAAAGGAUUAAUACAAAUUUUAUUGAAUGGAAAUGAAGAAUGUUUAAAAGCACAUGAGCCACUAUGGAAUCAUGAAAGUUAGUAAAAUAUAUUUAUGAUUGUCUUGUUAACUUAGUUAAACUUGCUGAGCACCCUUUGCAUGUGUUUGCUUAUUACAAAACCAGCUCAGAGAAUAGACAGAUGUGGAAAAAUCUGUAAUUUAAGGAAAGAACAGAGACACAAGAGUUGUUGCUAUUAGUAUAUCUCAAACUCUAUUUCUAGGAUUCACAUCUGUGUGACUUAAAGCCAACGGACAAUAAAAUGAUGUAUGUGAUUGUAAAUGAAGUUAUACAAUUCUGUUAAAUAGUGUCCCGGGUUGGUUUUCCCAAGAAGUACACUCUGAGGGGGAGUAUAGUACCUAGAAAGUUUAUUAAGGGAGGGAGUACACUUCAGAUCACUGCCUGUGGAAUAGAAAGGAACAAAUUGGGUGCAGGGAAGGCUCAGCCAACCCUGCUGGGGUUCUGAAGACAUAAUGCCCCUUCAGACCUGUUCCAGUUAGAAUACAAAGGCAGAGUCUUUAUGCCUCCACUUGGAUCAGUCACUGGAUAUGGACUAUUAGGGCUUUAAUUUUAAAGAACAAAUGCAGGUCCUGAGUAAUAUUGUUUAUUAAUCAUGUUAUUUAUUAUGAUUGAUAAUUAUGGUCGUUUAUCAUUAUAGGAAUCAAGUAUGCAGGUUCAGCAUAGCCCUGUUGUGAGUAAUACUCAUCCUUUAUCUGGGAUUCAAAGUCACCUAACUGUGACUUUGGCCUCCUACCAAAAUGGAGCUAACUAGACCACAAGUUGUGUUACCUCUAGAUGCCACUUGAUUUAUUUGCAUGUGAUUUUUCUCACUGCAAUGUCUUUACAAAAUGUGGAGGUGCCAUUGCCAGGGCAACAAGGAAUGUUGCACAUGAAGUUGAGCCUUUACUAAAAUUUUAAUUCUCCCUGUCUGAACUCCCACUGACUCCUGGCUUAUCCUUAUAUUGUAGCCAGAAAACAAACAUCAUGGAGUUCACACUUCUGUUUCUCUGUUCCCUCUGUUUCCUCCCAUGGUCGUGGUAACCUAUACACUUUCUCCUAAGUUGACACACAAUGAAUUUAUUUCUUCUAACUAAUGUUGACACUUUUUCCUUGUCCGAUUCAAUAAUUCCCCUUUGUGUUGAAUACUAUCUACUCAACAUAGCUCAUGGUAUGGCUAUGCCAUAUUUGCC